UACGGGGGGGACUAACGUUGUUCGGAUUUACUGGGCGUAAAGGGCGCGUAGGCGGACUUUCAAGUCGGAUGUGAAAUCCAUAGGCUUAACUUAUGGCUUGCAUUCGAUACUGUUGGUCUUGAGUAUAUCAGAGGAAAGCGGAAUUCCAGGUGUAGCGGUGAAAUGCGUAGAUAUCUGGAAGAACACCAGUAGCGAAGGCGGCUUUCUGGGGUAAUACUGACGCUGAAGCGCGAAGGCUAGGGGAGCAAACAGG
This 253-nucleotide unclassified non-coding RNA is filed under the name uncultured bacterium. RNAcentral describes it as "contains 16S-23S intergenic spacer region". It matches the Rfam family "Bacterial small subunit ribosomal RNA", at positions 524 to 776 of the family's 1533-position model. The record is from RNAcentral.